This 605-nucleotide ribosomal RNA is filed under the name uncultured archaeon. RNAcentral describes it as "bacterial SSU rRNA". It matches the Rfam family "Archaeal small subunit ribosomal RNA", at positions 324 to 929 of the family's 1478-position model. The record is from RNAcentral.
UACGGGGUGCAGCAGGCGCGAAAACUUUACAAUGCUGGCAACAGCGAUAAGGGAACCUCGAGUGCCAGGUUACAAAUCUGGCUGUCGAGAUGCCUAAAAAGCAUUUCAUGGCAAGGGCCGGGCAAGACCGGUGCCAGCCGCCGCGGUAACACCGGCGGCUCGAGUGGUAACCGUUAUUAUUGGGUCUAAAGGGUCUGUAGCCGGCCGGAUAAGUCUCUUGAGAAAUCUGGCAGCUUAACUGUCAGGCUUUCAGGAGAUACUGUCUGGCUCGAGGCCGGGAGAGGUGAGAGGUACUUCAGGGGUAGGGGUGAAAUCUUGUAAUCCUUGAAGGACCACCAGUGGCGAAGGCGUCUCACCAGAACGGACCUGACGGCAAGGGACGAAAGCUAGGGGCACGAACCGGAUUAGAUACCCGGGUAGUCCUAGCCGUAAACGAUACUCGCUAGGUGUCGGCCACGGUGCGACCGUUGUCGGUGCCGUAGGGAAGCCGUGAAGCGAGCCACCUGGGAAGUACGGCCGCAAGGCUGAAACUUAAAGGAAUUGGCGGGGGAGCACCACAACGGGUGGAGCUUGCGGUUUAAUUGGAUUCAACGCCGGAAAUCUUA